This 479-nucleotide ribosomal RNA is filed under the name uncultured Alphaproteobacteria bacterium. RNAcentral describes it as "bacterial SSU rRNA". It matches the Rfam family "Bacterial small subunit ribosomal RNA", at positions 9 to 524 of the family's 1533-position model. Lineage: Bacteria; Pseudomonadati; Pseudomonadota; Alphaproteobacteria. The record is from RNAcentral.
GAGUUUGAUCCUGGCUCAGAACGAACGCUGGCGGCAUGCCUAACACAUGCAAGUCGAACGGGAUCCAGGCUUCGGCCUGGUGAGAGUGGCGGACGGGUGAGUAACGCGUGGGAACCUGCCCAAUGGUCUGGGAUAACCGCGGGAAACUGCGGCUAAUACCGGAUAAGCCCGAGAGGGGAAAGAUUUAUCGCCGAUGGAGGGGCCCGCGUCCGAUUAGGUAGUUGGUGGGGUAAUGGCCUACCAAGCCUACGAUCGGUAGCUGGUCUGAGAGGAUGAUCAGCCACACUGGGACUGAGAUACGGCCCAGACUCCUACGGGAGGCAGCAGUGGGGAAUAUUGGACAAUGGGGGCAACCCUGAUCCAGCAAUGCCGCGUGAGUGAUGAAGGCCUUAGGGUUGUAAAGCUCUUUUGGCGGGGACGAUGAUGACGGUACCCGCAGAAUAAGCCCCGGCUAACUUCGUGCCAGCCGCCGCAGUAAU